GAGUUUGAUCCUGGCUCAGAUUGAACGCUGGCGGCAUGCCUUACACAUGCAAGUCGAACGGCAGCACGGGGGGCGACCCCUGGUGGCGAGUGGCGAACGGGUGAGUAAUGCAUCGGAACGUGCCCGGUAGUGGGGGAUAACCCCGAGAAAUCGGGCUAAUACCCGCAUGAGCCCGGGAGGGGAAAGCGGGGGACCUGAUGAGGGCCUCGCGCUAUCGGAGCGGCCGAUGUCCGAUUAGCUGGUUGGUGGGGUAAAGGCCCACCAAGGCGACGAUCGGUAGCGGGUCUGAGAGGACGGCCCGCCACACUGGGACUGAGACACGGCCCAGACUCCUACGGGAGGCAGCAGUGGGGAAUUUUGGACAAUGGGCGAAAGCCUGAUCCACCAUGCCGCGUGCGGGAAGAAGCCUUCGGGUUGUAAACCGUUUCGGCCGGGACGAAAUCGCCCGCAUGAACAGUGUGGGUGGAUGACGGUACUGCAAAAAGACCGGUAACUACGUGCCAGCAGCCCGGGUAAUACGUAGGGUGCGAGCGUUAAUCGGAAUUACUGGGCGUAAAGCGUGCGCAGGCGGCCCUUUAAGUCAGGUGUGAAACCCCCGGCUUAACCUUGGGAAUGGCGCUUGAACUGGAGGCUUUGAAUGCGCAAAAAGGGGGUGGAAUUCUUGGUACGGG
RNAcentral lists this ribosomal RNA (671 nucleotides) under uncultured beta proteobacterium. RNAcentral's name for it is "bacterial SSU rRNA". It matches the Rfam family "Bacterial small subunit ribosomal RNA", at positions 9 to 679 of the family's 1533-position model. Lineage: Bacteria; Pseudomonadati; Pseudomonadota; Betaproteobacteria. The record is from RNAcentral.